This 1756-nucleotide unclassified non-coding RNA is filed under the name Hevea brasiliensis (rubber tree). The record is from RNAcentral. Lineage: Eukaryota; Viridiplantae; Streptophyta; Magnoliopsida; Malpighiales; Euphorbiaceae.
GGUUUAUAAGAAUAUCAUCAUGUUCAAGUACUCGCCGCGUAGAAACCAACAGAGAAAUAAAGGUUUUAAGGUGAAACAUGCUCUUCAGAUAUGUGUACUUGUUGGUGUUUGUAUCUGGCUGCUUUACCAGGUCCAGCACUCACGUAGCAAGAAAGCAUCUAUUGAACAAAACACAAGAGCCUCAGAGAAGGUACAAACUGACAAUGAUGUUAUAAGGUUUGGAAGGAAGGACCUCCUACCUCAAAAGAAGGAAGUGGAUAUUGAUGAUGAGAAGCUGAAGGAGGUGACGGAGGAAGAUGAGCUUAAGCGUUUUGAUGAUGAUACCAAAGUGGAGGAGCAUGACCAUGAUCUAGAAAAAUCAGCGGAGGAUAGUGAGCAUAAAGGGGCUUCAGUGGAUGAGGAUACAGGGACAGAAAAAAUUGAGGAGAAAGAAGUGAGUGGAGAAAAUGCUGAAGCAGAAAGCAAAGAGAACACUGAAGAUGGCAAAGGCGAGAAUGAAGAUGGCAAAGGCGAGAGCACUGAGGAAGCCACGGACUCAAAUACCGACAACAGUGAAACUAAUGAAACCAGAGAAGAAGAUAGUGAAAAAGAUCAGGUAAAGCAAAGUGACGUUGAGGGUGAAGAAACUAAGGAUCAGGGAUUAGAAAAGGAAGUCAAGGAUGUUAAAGAGAAUAAUGACAGUGAAAGUGAAGAGAAGGCACAAAGUGAAGAGAGUGGAAAUGAAGAAACCUCUAUAAAUAGAAGUGAAGAAGUAGUUGAAAAUGUAAGUGACAAGAAGUCGGUGGAAUUGAAAGAAAGUAAUGAAGGGAAAGUAAAAGAGAAUGAGGAGAGCAAAGAAGAGAAGAAUGAGGGGGACAGCAGAGAGAUUGAUGAAGCCAGCAAAGAGAAGGAGGAGAACCAAGGCAAAACUGAAGAAUCUGGCUCAUCAGAAGAUAAGGUUCAUGAUGAAGUUGAUACAACUAAUGAGGCUUCAACAGUGGAAAGUGGCAAGGAAGAGAGUUCAGUGGUUAAAGAAACUUCAGAUUCUGAAAACAUGACUGGUACAGAAGGAGAUGGUAAUGUAGCCUUGAAUAAUGAGGAGGAAUCCAAGAAGGGAGAAGAUGAGUUGCAAGAUACGAAAAAUAAGUUGGAUUCAGAUGCUGGAGAAAAUAAGAUGCUUGAACAAAAUAGCUCUGCAGAUACAAAUACUGUUGGAGAAGUGACUAAUGAAAGCAACACUGAGGACAGUUCUAAUGCUGCAGCAGGAAACAAUGAAGCCGCUAGCCAGCAGACAGAAACUGACAAUUCUGCCUCUGAAGCCACUCAAAAUGAAAUCAACAGUAAUGAUAACUCCAAUCAAGCAGGAACAAAUGAAGCCAAUGAACAUCAGCAAGAAAAUGAGAACUCAGCAUCUCAUACCAUACAAAAUGAGAACAACUCUAGUGAUAACUCAGAUCAUGCAACAGGAACCAACAAAGCUAAUGAACAACAGCAAGGAAAUGAGAACAACUCUAGUAAUGACUCCAAUCACGCAGCAGAAACCCAUGAUGUCAAUAAGCAGCAGCAGGAACAGGAAAGUUCUGUUUCUGAUACCAAACAAAAUGAGAAGAACUCUGGUGAAGACUCCAAUCUUGCAGAAGGAACCAACGAAGCCAAUAAGCAGCAGAAGGAACAAGACAGUUCUUCUUCUGACACCAAACAAAAUGAGAAGAGCUCUGGUGAAGACUCCAAUCUUACAGAAGGAACCAAUGAAGCCAACAAACAGCAGCAGGAAAAU